AGUGAACGCUGGCGGUAGGCCUAACACAUGCAAGUCGAACGGCAGCACAGGAGAGCUUGCUCUCUGGGUGGCGAGUGGCGGACGGGUGAGGAAUACAUCGGAAUCUACUCUGUCGUGGGGGAUAACGUAGGGAAACUUACGCUAAUACCGCAUACGACCUACGGGUGAAAGCAGGGGAUCUUCGGACCUUGAGCGAUUGAAUGAGCCUGUGUCGGAUUAGCUAGUUGGCGGGGUAAAGGCCCACCAAGGCGACGAUCCGUAGCUGGUCUGAGAGGAUGAUCAGCCACACUGGAACUGAGACACGGUCCAGACUCCUACGGGAGGCAGCAGUGGGGAAUAUUGGACAAUGGGCGCAAGCCUGAUCCAGCCAUACCGCGUGGGUGAAGAAGGCCUUCGGGUUGUAAAGCCCUUUUGUUGGGAAAGAAAUCCAGCUGGCUAAUACCCGGUUGGGAUGACGGUACCCAAAGAAUAAGCACCGGCUAACUUCGUGCCAGCCGCCGCCGUAA
Molecule: ribosomal RNA, 506 nt
Filed under: uncultured bacterium
Lineage: Bacteria
Description: partial 16S ribosomal RNA
Rfam family: Bacterial small subunit ribosomal RNA
Source: RNAcentral